This 7275-nucleotide long non-coding RNA is filed under the name Triticum aestivum (bread wheat). RNAcentral's name for it is "long non-coding RNA (TAES_LNC004189)". The record is from RNAcentral. Lineage: Eukaryota; Viridiplantae; Streptophyta; Magnoliopsida; Poales; Poaceae.
GUCAGAUUGCCAGUGGCAUCUACAGGGACACACACGAGCUAAAAAUCAACAAGAUGGUGCUUCUAGGUAUGAGAGGAGUGAUGGACAUGCUGGUUUGGCCAAAUAACCAGGUGUCCAGUGUAAGUUAGAAAGUGGCAACAUUUCUGUCAUGCCCACAAGGUGUUUGACAGAACGCUAGGGGCAAGCUAAAGGACUUUGAUGGAUUUGAAACUUGCCAGAUUGGGAUCUCUUUAGGUGCUAGAGAUGAUGGUGGAGUUAGUUUGGCAAGAUGAGAAACUUUCUAGUGCAAGUUUUACCAGAAUUCAGUUCUGGACAGAAACUUCAGAGAAGUGUUUGGUGGACUUGCAAGUUGAAAUUGAAGCUUCCCUUCUGGACUUAAGGUACUAGUUGGAAGGACUACAAUAUGGCAAAGUUUCAGAAUUAAUGGAGCUAGAAAAAUUAGGGUUGCAGUUAUAACUCAAGAAUGGGACAGAAUUUGAAAAGAGGAUGUUUCUCUCAAAAUUUUCAAAAGACAUAGUUAGGUUUUUGCUCAAAAGUGAUUUAUAGGCAUCACCCGACCUCUCACAAUUUUUGUGGGAUUUUAAAACAAUUAUUUAAAAUAAUUGUAGUGCAAUAGAAGCAUUUUAAGUAUUGAAAAUGCUUUUAAAAGUAUUACUUGUGGCAAAUUUUAUUAUGAAAAUAUUUCCCACUGUUAUUUAUGAUACAAAUGGAAAGGCUUAUAAAACAACCACAUACCACAACACUUCACAAAAAUAAUCUUCUAUGGAGGGGAGAAUUUUUUGUAAAACAGGAAAUAGAAAAGGCUUUGAAAUUAAUAAAUGACCUAGUAUAAUUCAAAAUUUUAUUUCUGGCCAAAUUUUACUUAAUAAAAUUUGAUUAAAAUUUUGGGGUGUUACAAACUCUACCCCCCUUAAGAAAAAUCUCGUCCUCGAGAUUUGUUAAGGGCAGAAGAACUGAAAAUCACAACAAAUGAUCAUAUGCAGAAUGCAGUCAUGGCAAUGCACUUACAUACGCCCUAAAUUACAAUACAGCGGUUGCAUCAUGUAUACUAGUGCUAGGUACAGCAACAAUGACCGUCUACAGUCUGAAGGUGAGAUCUACAGGGUCUUGUGGAAGGGUUCCCGAUGCUGGAGCACAUUCUUCUUCUUCCGGGGGAAGUGAAGGAAGUAAACGAAGAACACGCCCUUCCGGAGUUGGCCAUGGUGGUCCACCAAUGGCGAUAUGGGGAUUCAGCAUAGCAAGAUAAUGGAGGUAAUCCAUUAGUUGCUGGGUUAGAUGCUCCUGGGCCAUCACAUAUUGAAUGAGAUUGGCCAGAGUUGGAUCCCUCUCUAUGCGUUCACAACGGAACGUGGCUUCUGCUCCAAAAGCUGCGCGGCUCGGGAAAUAGUAGUAUUUCCUUUCACUGGCAGCGGGUAUAGUGAACCGAACACGGGUAACUGCUUCAUAAGCAGCAGCCUCAAUAGCCAUGCCUGAGGUUGGCAUGGAUCUCCCGACGAAGACAACAUAUGGAGGGUCUUGAUUUAAAUCCUCUCGUGGGAUGUGCACAACUGCCCAGUAUUUUGAGGAAUUAGGGGUGAUCCUCAUUUUGAACAACUCAUACUGGGGUGGGUUGCUGGAACCAAGGGUAUUGCGGGUCAGAUCCCACAAAACCUUAAUGAAACUACCAGGGCUUGCAUCUGGAGUUCGUAGGUAGACUCCAGGGUGAGACAUGGAAGGAUGAAUGGAGAAGAGCGGUGCUCAAGUGUGGUGGUGGCUGGUGUGGUGUAUGGAUAUGGCCCCUUAUAAGGUGCCUGGGCUAGGAAACACGAUGCGGCGCUGGCACGACUUGUGCAUCGGCUCCGACAUAGGGUUGUCCAAGUCAAAUUCUCGGACACCACUUCUCAAAAGGAGUGUGACAUAUUACUGUGCGUGUCGGCAGUCACAUCUAGCAUUUACUCUGUCGCCAUACACCAAUAAUUUACGCUAGAUCACACAUAGUACCAUUACAACAAUGGCACACAUGUAGUUGACAAGCUCACUAUGCCAUACGAUUGGUACCUUGAAAAUACAAGACAACAGGACUACUAAGAUUUGACAAUACUCCUGGUGGACUCAGUCCACCUCAUUGACAUCUAGCCGGGCGUGUCUUGCAGAUGUCGAGGCCUCUCCGUGAGCUUCAGUGUCGGAGUUGUUCGGGGUAGGAUGGGGAGCUAUAGUGCUGGAUAGCGAUGAUGCCCCUCGUGGGGUCUCGUGGUCACAAUCCCGUUGGAGUAGGUCUCCAAGAGACGACGGAGUUCUCCUGGGGAGGCAAAGGCAUUGUCGGGGUUGAUGAUAGGAGCAGACCUUGGGGGUUCAACUGGCCUCCCAAGUAGCAUUAUUGGGGUGUCGGUGUUGGUUGCAGCUUCACUCCUUACCGGUGUCAGGAGUGCAAUCGUCCUGCGGGUCGCAAUCAGAUCAUUGGUGACCUGAUCGAAUAGUGCCUCUUGCGCCCUCAGGUAGCGCACCAGAUGCACUAGAGCAGGAUCCAACUCAUGGUCACCGUUGGCGACUUGGGUCGGGCUACCAUAGCCUUCACGACUAGGGUAGUAGAAGAAAGGGCGGGUGUUAACCCUCGGCGACAAAUGCCGAAGAUGAACUAUACCCUCUCGGCUGCAAGUUGGAUGGCUUGGGGCUCGUCGGAGGUCAUCCUUCCGGUGAACCGGUAGGGGCGUUCUGAUGUGGUGCCCCUCCCGUAGAUGUGCACCGUGGCCCAGAAGUGAUGGAUGGCAUCACUUGUGUGUUCCUGGUACACAACAUAUUCUGGGGGUUCGUCUAUGCCAAAAGCACGAUGAGUGAGAUUGGCGAGGAUCGCUACAAAAUCUCCAAGCUCGGAUGCGGUGGUCUCGUUGCGGACGAUGGGACCAUGCAUCUUGGUGGUUUGGAAAUCAAGCUGCGAGUGAAGGCGAUGAUGUGCUGAGUAAGGGCAAGGCUUCCUUUAUAAGCCAGCGGAGUCUUCCAUCGCACGCUUGCGGAUGGGACAACUCAGGUGUCGGCCACGGGCGCACGGCCUAUGGCCUAGGACAAUAGGUUGGGCACCGACUAACAAAAAUCUGUCGGGUGGCCACUAUGCAGGCUAUCGGUUAGGAUGAGCUUGACGGUGGAUAGAAAAGGAUAUGGUCGGUGUGAAAACCUAGGGAUAGUGACCAGGCUAAGAUAGGAUUAGCCGGUGGUCAGCCUAGCUCUGAUACCAAGGUUGUCGGGGCCGGAUUUCCGGGACAUAAAUUCCCAGCAAACGACCCUUAUGUCACCACCAGCCCCAGGAUUACUGUUGCUGGUGGAUAUUUCCUUGAUACAGAAUUCCAAGAAAUUACAAGGAUUUGAGUACAAGACCUUAUAGGUCCAUUGAGUACAACAAUGAUUUCGAGUGGCAAAUAAUGGAAGCGACUCGUGGAUCUCCAACGCUGAUGGAACUCCAUUCCCACGGGAACAGCUGACCUGGAUAACUCCUAUCUCGCGCGGUUGCUAUCUCUGAAUCCUAGGUUGCGAGGUGGCUUCGUAGUACUCCUCUCUGAAUCAUGAUCUGGCCAAGACAAUAGCCAUGGACAAGCCAGUGAGUACGUUUGAAUGUACUCGCAAACAUCAAGAACAAAAGAUAUAGAGGAUGCAUAUGCUCAUGAUGAAUUAAAUUAUAUGCAUGUGCAGACUGAGAAUUCAAGCAUGGCAUGAAAAUAUUCAUACGGUGCAGAAGGAUAAAUUAGUCAUGUUAUUAGUAAAUCAAAGAAAUGAAACGGAACGUCGGGCGUUGGACCGCCCGAGAAAUUCCAAGAGAAAUGCCAAACGGGCGUCUAAAAGAGAAUCGGGCGAGACAGGACCGCCCGAGAACUCAAGCGAGACCACGAGAGGUCUUGAAAAGAAAUGCCAAACGAGUGUCUAAAAGAGAGUCGGGCGAGACAGGACCGCCCGAGAACUCAAGCGAUGCCACGAGAAGUCUUGAAAAUACACGGCACAGUCGGGUGUCUGAAGCGACGCCUCAUAAAGGGCUUAUAAGAAAAUAACAUGAGCAUUCAGGUGGACUAGCCAUCCCAAGAGAUACUCACAGUUGCACAUAAGAGGAAACGGUUAGUCCACAACAAUAUUCAUGUCAACAAUAAUAUUCAUAAUGGCACCAGCAGUGACAAUAAUUACCCUGCAGGACGAACCAUGAUCAAUUUAAUUAUUUCCUCCGGAGACUGACACUAAGGCCGACACUUGACCAACCCAGACUGUAGUCCUUAACCAUGGACAUGACUAUUCGAAUAGAUAUAAUUCUGCAGAGGGUGUACUCUUUACCCACAAGUAAAGGAUUUCUUUAGUCAACCCCGAGACGUUGACUAAUUCCGAUUACGGUCUUUGGGAUGAAAACACACCUGACCCGCACAUACCAGCUUUAAUCCAUCAAGCCAGGGAUCACCCAAAACAAUGAUAAAGUAAAAAUCUAAGUGGGAAGGCCUCAUGCAACGGCCUCCAACAGCAUGAACAUUCAGCUUCGGUCCCAGACCGGCCAUUCAUGCCCCCGGACCAAGUGACAUGACUACUGGGGCCAAUAGUACCAUUCCCUAUGGCCUCUCUGUACGGUGUGUGCAGGAAAGGGGUUAUCAACUUACUGAACCAUACCCUACCUUUGGCAGGAACAUGUGGUAGCACGAAUCAAGUAUGGGGGGUUACCGGAACAAGACUCGAUCUACGGUCAACUCAGGAGGUUUAAGUUUCCCUGCAAUGGUUAGCACAAUACAAUUCCUUGGCAUUACCCAACAGGGUCACCACCUAGUAUGUCUCAACAUACCCUCAUUGAUCAUUCUCCUCACGAACGAGAUUUCAGUCUCACGGUCACUUUUCUCGUGACUGAUUCUUCUUGCAAAUUAGCCUAGACCAACACAGGCAUAUACGGUACAUGAAAAUCACCAUACUCACUCAUACUUCAUGUUAAAAUGGAGAUAGAAUAUCAUCAAGGGGAAUCAUGCAUGUAUGACCAAUACUAUGCAAAUUUCAUAUGAGUUGAAUAUAUUCAUAAUUCAAUUCUACAUGCAAACAAACACUAUGCAUUCACCAUAUCAUGUGUUCAAGAUGCUUGCCUUGAGCAUGCAGAAAGAUUAGGCGCACUCCAAAACUUGGAAAUUAUAUCUCCCCUCCAUUUCCUAUUUUCAAAAUAUUAUAAUUACCACAUAAUUCUAAAACAACACAUAAAAGUUGUUUGUAAAAUUUUGAAAUAAAUACUAAAAUAAACUAGGUGAAUUUUGAAAAAUAACAGAAAAAGAAUCAAGUAAUUUGAAGUUCAUAUGAUUUUCCUAUGGAUUUACUAAGCUGGAAUAUUAAAGGAAAAUUGACUAUUUAGUAGAUCCAGCAAAAACCAGGACUAGGAAAAAUGUGCAACCUAUCUGGCUAAAUACAACAUGAUUUUGGAAGUAGGUAGAAAUUUGAAUAAUCGAAUUCGGAUGUGAAAUGGCUUCUGUGGAAUUAUUUGAAAUUUGCUGGAAAAGAAAAAGGAAACAGAGAUUACUGUGAUGGGCUGAGCAGAAACGCGCCCUGGGCGCAGUAUAGCCGCCUAGCGCUACUGGGCCGAGCCCAGUCGUUUGGCUGCGUGGGAGGGUUGCGACGUCGAAGGCGUCUUUACUAUUGUACGUUUUCCGGUGGAGGAGACGUACUUUGGGGAAAACGUCUCCACUUAAAAUGAGCUGGCACCGCGCUGAGUCACUGGCAGUGGGCCCGCCCGGCCCACUGGUCAGGUUUGACCAGUCCACGCGCGCGCCUCCUUCUCCGGCCGAACAGAGGCGGAGCUCCGGCGGUCGGCGCCGGCGAAAGGCGGCACCGUUUGGAAAACCGAGGCCUCCUACGAGCUCAGAAGGUUGAGGCGGACAUGUGGGUACCCUCCUUUGUCGCUGGAGUGGAGGGAGUCGCCGGCGGCGAGCUCACCCGAGGAGCUCCGGCGGAGACGAAUUGGGUGUUUCGCCUAUGGUGGCUCCCGGGCAAAAUUGAGUGUGGGGGUGGAUCAAUGGGUGCUCAAGGAGGCUAGUGGUGGAUAAACUUGUGAGAGGAAGGGCCGGACGGCGUCGGAACCAUCCGAACAGUGGCGGCGGCAGUAGUUGCCGGAAUCGGAGAAGACGACCUCCUCUGGUUGUGUUGCUGCAACGGGUGGGUCAGUGAGGGAGAGGUAGAGUGAUAUGGUGCUUUUCGAGGGCCUUGGGUGGCUUUUUAUAGGGAGGGGAGGGCAGUGCCGCGGGUUCCAGAGAUGAACACGUCGGCGGCGGCCAUUGAUGGCAAAGCGCGGGCGGUGGCGAGGUAGGAGUGGCCGGAGCGGUUAGGUACGGACGGUGGUCGUCCGUAUUUACCACGGGGUCGCGCUGGCUGGCUCGGGUGGCCUGGGCGGUGCCGUGCCCGAGCUGACCGCGGCGGCGGCCAUUCAAGGCGAGCGAGUGGGUGGUGGCGAGGCCGGUGUGUCGCUAGUGUGGCCGGUGAGCUGCGGAUGAGCUCGAGUCAUUGGCAAUUAAGCGAGAGGGGCUCGGGCAGAGACGUGGCCGUGCGGGACUCGUCGGGCGGCGGUCUUGGUCGUCGUGGACGGCGGUGGACGGCACUAGGGGCCAAGCGAGGGUGUAGGCGAUGUUCCUGGUGGUCGAGCUGAUCCGGAGGAGGAUCAGGAUGAGAAGGGGAGGCAACAGAGACACGGCAGGCGCUCGGUGCCGACGCGUGCAAAACACACGCUCUGGCCGCGCCCGGUGCACGCACGUUAGGUGUUCGUCAGAUUGCCAGUGGCAUCUACAGGGAGACACACGAGAUAAAAAUCAACAGGAUGGUGCUUCUAGGUAUUAGAGGAGUGAUGGACAUGCUGGUUUUGCCAAAUAACCAAGUGUCCAGUGUAAGUUAGAAAGUGGCAACAUUUCUGUCAUGCCCACAAGGUGUUUGACAGAACGCUAGGGCGAGCUAAAGGACUUUGAUGGAUUUGAAACUUGGCAGAGUGGGGUCUCUUUAGAUGCUAGAGAUGAUGGUGGAGUUAGUUUGGCAGGAUGAGAAACUUGCUAUUGCAAGUUUUACCAGAAUUCAGUUCUGGACAGAAACUUCAGAGGAGUGUUUGGUGGACUUGCAAGUUGAAAUUGAAGCUUCCCUUCUGGACUUAAGGUACUAGUUGUAAGGACUACAAGAUGGAAAAGUGUCAGAAUUAAUGGAGCUAGAAAAAUUAGGGUUGCAGUUAUAACUCAAGAAUGGGACAGAAUUUGAAAGGAGGAUGUUUCUCUCAAAAUUUUCAAAAGACAUAGUUAGGUUUUUGCUCAAAAGUGAUUUAUAGGC